RNAcentral lists this ribosomal RNA (1193 nucleotides) under uncultured eukaryote. RNAcentral describes it as "SSU rRNA". It matches the Rfam family "Eukaryotic small subunit ribosomal RNA", at positions 20 to 1209 of the family's 1831-position model. The record is from RNAcentral.
GUAGUCAUAUGCUUGUCUCAAAGAUUAAGCCAUGCAUGUCUAAGUACAGGCUUUGGUACAGCGAAACCGCGAAUGGCUCAUUAAAUCAGCUAUAAUUUAUUAGAUUGUUCUCUACUUGGAUAACUGUGGGAAUUCUAGAGCUAAUACAUGCGCAAAAGCUCCGACCUUCGGGGAGGAGUGCAGUUAUUAGACCAAAACCAGCCGAGCUUCGGCUCGAACUGUUUGGUGACUCUGGAUAACUAUCAGCGGAUCGCAUGGCCUUGUGCCGGCGACAUAUCUUUCAAGUGUCUGACCUAUCAACUGACGAUGGUACGCGAUAUGCCUACCAUGGUGAUAACGGGUAACGGAGAAUAAGGGUUCGACUCCGGAGAGGGAGCCUGAGAAAUGGCUACCACAUCCAAGGAUGGCAGCAGGCGCGCAAAUUACCCACUCUCAGUACGAGGAGGUAGUGACGAAAAAUAACAAUGCGGGACUCUAUGAGGCCUCGCAAUUGGAAUGAGCGCACUUUAAAUCGUUCGACGAGGAUCUAUUGGAGGGCAAGUCUGGUGCCAGCAGCCGCGGUAAUUCCAGCUCCAAUAGCGUAUAUUAAAGUUGUUGCAGUUAAAAAGCUCGUAGUUGGAUCUGGGGGUUCGGGUCGGCGGUUUGCCGCUCUGCGGCUACUGCCGUGCUCGACUCUUACUAGCCGGUGCGUCUCGUGGUGCUCUUCAUUGAGUGCCUCGAGAGCCUGGCAUGUUUACUUUGAAAAAAUUAGAGUGCUCAAAGCAGGCGGUUCCGCCUGAAUAGUGUUGCAUGGAAUAAUGGAAUAGGACCUCGGUUCUAUUUUGUUGGUUUUCGGAACUUGAGGUGAUGAUUAAGAGGGACGGUCGGGGGCAUUCGUAUUUCGGUGUUAGAGGUGAAAUUCUUGGAUCGCUGAAAGACGGACAAAUGCGAAAGCAUCUGCCAAGAACGUCUCCAUUAAUCAAGAACGAAAGUCAGAGGUUCGAAGACGAUCAGACACCGUCCUAGUUCUGACCAUAAACGAUGCCAACUAGCGAUCCGCAGUGGUUGCUAUAAACGGACUCUGCGAGCAGCUUCCGGGAAACCAAAGUGUUUGGGUUCCGGGGGAAGUAUGGUUGCAAAGCUGAAACUUAAAGGAAUUGACGGAAGGGCACCACCAGGAGUGGAGCCUGCGGCUUAAUUUGACUCAACACGGG